AACAAUACCAAUAUAGAAACUUGGCCACCAACUUUUUCUGACAACUUUUUCUGUCAGGACCCCCUGUGAGGAUGAAGGGACAUUUUAAAUUUCUAUUCUUAUGUUCUACAUUAUAGUACUUUUUAUGACUCAGAUUUGUAGUUUUAAAUAUUUUUAUAGCUAUGUGAAAAAGCUGCUCCGAAACUGAGACCGUUGCCAUGGUAUUAAAUGUCUAAAUGUUUUUCCUUUUGUACUUCAGAACCAAACUUGCACACGAUAUUAAUGAUUGUGGCACUUCGCAACAGAAUAAUCACAAGGUACAAUCGACCUCUUCUUGAGCUGACAAUUUACAAAAACAUAUGGAUUACACAUAAUGCAGAAUUAAAGACUUGAGUGGCAACGUUAUCAGUGAGGCUUUAAACUAAUCAAUCGAGGUUAAUGUCCGAUUUUUGUAUUUUUUUCAUAUCAAACGAUAAAAGAGAAAUACAAUUUGAGUGUGUUGAUUAGUUGGGGAGAAGGCAUUGGAAUAGUACUGUAUCAUCUAAUGAUGUUAGAAAAUGAGGACAUAAAUUGAUUGACAUAAAAGGAUUUAGGUAUUGUAAGGCUAAUAGUUUACAGCAUCUAUUACAGCGUUUAUCAAAUUCUAUAUCAACAUUUAAAUGCCUGCGCAGCUCAAUUUUUCGCAUAUCUAUUCAUUGCUGAUCCAAAUCAGUGUGAGUGCGUCCCCAGUCUGCGUCAGACACAGCACUCAUUAAUAUCCUCUGCUCUCGUGUUUCCCAGAGUGCGCGGCGUACAGGCACGCUCAGUGCCAUUCACAGGGCAACUCUCCACGGACGGCAGAUGAGCGACAAGUGAAGUGAAUAUAAUGUUUUUCAGGAAUCAGGAAACAUUUAUUGCCAAAAUAUGUCAAACAUACAAGGAAUUUGUCUUGGCGGUUGGUGCGUGACAGUAGACAGUGUAACAAUAGACCACAAUAAAGUAAAAAGAAAUGCUAAUGCAAUGGGUUAGUAGAAUAGGGCUAUGGGUUAGUAUAAAACAAUAAAUAAAGUUAAAGUUAAUGAUUUAAAACAUUAAAAAAUUUAAAUAUUAAGCAUAAAGUGACGACAAAGUGACGAGUGACGACAAAGUGAAAAAUUGCAGUAAAAGUGACAUGUGCAGUAUGAAGGGGAGUGACCGGUGGAAUGUUAUAGUCAGUCAGUGGUGGACCGGGCUCUGUUGAUGAGCCCGACUGCCGAUGGGAAGAAACUGUUCGUGUGGCGGGAGGUCUUAGUCCUGAUGGACCUCAGCCUCCUGCCAGAUGGAAGGGGCACAAACAGUUUUUGUCCGGGGUGAGAGGGGUCGGCUACGAUCUUUUUAGCUCGCUUCAGAGACCUGGAAGCGAACAAGUCCUGCAGGGACGGCAGAUUGCAGCCGAUCACCCUCUCUGCAGAGCGGAUGACACGCUGCAGCCUGCCCUUGUCCUUGGCUGUGGCUGCAGCGUACCAGGCGGUGAUUGAGGAAGGGUGGACAGAGGAAAAAAAGACAGAUGUAAGCAAAGUAGAAGAAUUGGUAACCUCUGCUUUUAGGCUUGAAUAAUCAUGCCACAAUGGCUAGGGUAUAAAUACAUCAAAGUUUACCAAAAUUUUUGCGUGAGGGUCCGCCUACCUAACAUUUAAAUGUGUGUUUGUAGCGUCAUUUCAGCGCUGAAUGCACAUUAACGCAGUAUGGUCAUUCUUUACAUUUCAAUUCUCACCAUGUUCUGUGUGUUCACUGAAUUAUUUUAGGUGUUUUCCUGUAAUGGAAAACUUGCGAUAUUACCUUUCUAAAGCUACAGUGACAACACCUAUUCAGGCGUCCGCAAUGUAAAGGAUUAAACUUAUUCUGGAUUUCAAUUCAGACAUAACAUAUAUACACACACAACAGAAUCCCCAGAAGCAUCUGGGGAGAACAAGUAAAAUAUCCUUCAUUGGAUAUUUAGACAUGAAUUUAGAUCGAGUUAUAGCAUGACCAUUGGAGGAAUUGCGUAUCUUUUUCUAGUCCACUGUUGGACAAAAAGGUACGUGCACACACACAAAUAGUACAAUUUAGUUGAACAAAUGUUGACUCUGUCUCCUCUUCCUAUAUGUGAUGCUCCCAUGGUAACCGUGGUUUUGGGUUUGCAAAAAUUUGCGAAAAACAGUUUUCACUUUGUCAUUAUGGGUUGUUGUGUGUAGAAUGUGGAGGAAAAUAAUGAAUUUAAUCCAUUUUGGAAUAAGGCCGUAACAUAACAAAAUGUGGAAAAAGUGAAGCGCGGUGAAUACUUUCCGGAUACACUGUAUAUAUAUACUUUCUAUAUUUUCCCAGAUUGGAAGUUCAACCUACCAAACUCUUGACAUGCUUGACAGCAUAUAUUAUUAUUGCACUAUAUACACUUGAGUAUAUGGUAUAAACAUAUACAGUAACAAAUUGGGUCACAUAAAGUCACAUAAAAACAUUAUUGGUUUUCAUACCCUAUUUGGGCUUAAUUACUAGUUUUACCUCCCUUUUUUAAACCACCCUGACCAACACGGUGUGUUACAAUUUUGGUAAAAGUAGGGUUCAGUAAUGGCAGUUCUAUGAUUUAUAUUGACCCAAAUAGCAAUCUAUUCCUAAACCUGUGCUUUUGUUGCCUGAACAUAACUAUGUAUUUCCCGGUAUGUUUCUAAACCUAACCAUUGACUUCUGUUACCUGACUGAGUUGAGAGAGGUUUUUUUUUUUUUUACUUUAAAAAGCAGAAAUUGACACCUGUUGCAGGCCUUUUUCUGGCAAAAAAUGCAUUAUUCCAAAAAAUAUUUGUAGAAUACCAUAUUAACUGUUAGAGUGACAUGGCAGCAUUGAUAAAUGCAGAAAAUAAAAAAGGCGAAAGUUAAGAAAGGGAAUGCAUCUAACGCCGACUGUAACCUUGAGGUGGAUCCGGGUGUGUUUCAGGCAUAUAAACAUAACUUGGAACAAAAAUGAUAGUUAGCACCGUUAACCGACUGGUUC
This is a long non-coding RNA of Gasterosteus aculeatus aculeatus (three-spined stickleback), 2962 nucleotides long. NCBI's taxonomy places the organism in Eukaryota, Metazoa, Chordata, Actinopteri, Perciformes, Gasterosteidae. The record is from Ensembl.